RNAcentral lists this ribosomal RNA (393 nucleotides) under uncultured bacterium. Its description in RNAcentral is "bacterial SSU rRNA". It matches the Rfam family "Bacterial small subunit ribosomal RNA", at positions 29 to 449 of the family's 1533-position model. The record is from RNAcentral.
AGCGAACGCUGGCGGCAGACCUAACACAUGCAAGUCGAGCGCCCGUAGCAAUACGGGAGCGGCAGACGGGUGAGUAACACGUGGGAACGUACCCUUCGGUUCGGAAUAACCCAGGGAAACUUGGAUUAAUACCGGAUACGUCCGUAAGGAGAAAGAUUUAUCGCCGAAGGAUCGGCCCGCGUCCGAUUAGCUAGUUGGUGGGGUAAUGGCCCACCAAGGCUACGAUCGGUAGCUGGUCUGAGAGGAUGAUCAGCCACACUGGGACUGAGACACGGCCCAGACUCCUACGGGAGGCAGCAGUGGGAAUAUUGGACAAUGGGCGCAAGCCUGAUCCAGCCAUGCCGCGUGAGUGAUGAAGGCCCUAGGGUUGUAAAGCUCUUUCGGCGGGAAGAU